AAGGAAGAAGAGGAAGAAGGGAGGAGGAAGGGGUAAGGGGAGGUUGGGGAAGAGGAGGACUAUGACUGCUACAGUGAAGACAACAAAAAAGAGGGCAAGAGAGAGAAGACCAAGAGAGUGAUCAAGUCAACUAUGCUAACAUACUUCGAAAUUCUACAAAUGAGCAAUCUCAUGAAAAUGGACAAUUACCCUACUUGAAUCUGGAUCUGACAAAAAUCUAGAAUGGGCUCUGGAUUUGAAUAACAUAAUGAAUAAUUCUUCCAAAUCCAUACAGUAGAGCAUGUGCACCCCAACAUCACUUGAGAGCACACGCAGUGAAAGGUUUCCCACUUCUCAUCACUGCUCUCCCAAAUCUACCGCGAUGACAGAUCUUUCUCUUAAGAACUCAAGUUUAAAAACCAAAAAAAAUAAAUAAAUAAAUAAAUAAAUAAAAGUAUACCAGAGUCGAUAAAAAUCAAAUCCACGCGGGUAAAAAUUACCUUGAAAUUGCAGAUUUGCUCAUAGAGAAAUCGAGGAAUCUGACAUGACCAGCGAAACCAAAGCCAUCAAUAACACCCAUGCAUUAGAAAGGAAACUGUCUUAGCAUUCAGUAUAAACCUCUGAUGCUUUAUCUUAUUGCUGUAAUAAAACGAAUUCUUUUCAUUUAAAACUAAUUUUAUUUAAAAGAAAAGGUGCUCUGUUUAAAGAAUAAAUCCUAAAAUUUUAACCAGCAACAUAGGCACUGGUAAAACACAGAACGCACUCCCGGGGAAGCCUCAGAAAGCAGGUUAGUAACCAAUUCUGGGCUCUCUAACCAAAACAGGGAAAUGGAAGGUGGAAGAGGAGCAGUGACUGCACAGGAGAAAGGCACCCCCAUCAGCACCACUUUCCUGCCAGACAGAAACCCAGAAAGAUCAAUAUUAAAGGAAUCAACUGUGCGCCGUCAAUAUGUACAAUCAAUGACUAGUUAGAGCAUGAAAAAUUAAAGAGCUCUCCGUUUCUCCAUAGUUAGAUAAAUAAAUUAUGGAGGAUUUCAUAGGCUACAAUAAAGAAAAACAAAGUAUAAAAUGCUCAAAAUUCCCCGUAAUUAUGGAUACAAGGGCUCUGUAAAAGCAAAGCACCAAAAGACUUCAACAACCAAAGGGCUGAAGAAAUAAACAGGCUUAACACCUAGGAGACUGAAUUUUGUACAAGCAUUGUUCUCAAACAGGCUUUAUUAGACUGACCGUUUAAGAGGAUGGCACUUCAAAUGGAAAAUACACAAGUAAUUGACACUGUGCUAAAUACGCCACACCCAGCAUAUCAUCCAGUCACAGGAACAGAUGAAGUAGCCAGGGCCCACUGAGAUGAAAUUUGUUAAUGAAGCGAAGAAUGCUGAAAGAAAAGAACUUUUGACACAGAAGAAGUAAAAACACUAUCAGAAAUUAACAUAUAUAGUAGCCAUGAAUCAAAAUUAUAUGAUACACUGAACGGAAAGAAAGUAGGUUAAUGCAUUAGACUAAUUAACAUGGAAAGAGAAAUAUAUUCAUUUUGACGUUAACCCUUUUAAAAUGUGCUCAGAAUACUAGCUAAUGUCAAACUCACGUGGUAAGAACUGAAUAACUGGUUGACAAACAGCUAGCAUGAUUAACCACUCUUUAAGAGUUGAGUAAUCAAAGUAGGGCUUAAUUCAAAUUAGGCCUGUAACAACUGCACAGCUGUUUUGGGGGGGAAAAAAAAGUAAAAUCAAUUUUGGUCGGCCUUGUAUUUCAGUGGGGUAACUGAGAAAGGAGCUAUGAAGGAAAAUAUCAACGAAAGCCUCCCUCAAAACCAACUGAAAAGCUGGUGAUAGGAACAUCCAACUCAGAAAUGCCAUCCCCAGUGACUUCAAAAGUAGCAGGCCAAACCAAGCUCUCAACAGUAAAAGGAAACAUGGGGGAAGGGUAUUAGACCUCAGAAGCUGGAGUCAGCCUCACAACCAAUCAGAGAGGACCACAUUAAACUUCUCAGCAAAAUGAUUGACAAAAAUAUCUUUUAAAUCAUUCAGGACCUUUGCCCCAGUCACAUUUCUUGUGUAAAAAUUCAUCACCGACUUCGAGGUUGCAUAAUGGAAACAUAUUCAAACCAUGAAGUUUAUAAAGCUUUGUGGUAACAUUUCUAUCAGCCAAGUGGACCACUGGGAUGCUUUUCUGCUUGUCACUCCUGUUGCUGCUGCUGUUGUUGUUGUUGUUGCUGUUGUUGUUUCUCCCCCCACCCCUGCUGGGAAUUGAACUGCAAGCCUUGCACAUGCUAUGUCAGUCCCCAUGAUGCUUUUCAGCCUGAGCUUUUUGCAAAUGCAAAUCAGUUCUCAACCAACUGAUUGACACGAAUAAUAAGAAAAAUAGGGGCUUGGAGCAAUGUACAUCUGUUUCUGAAGUUUGGAUGCCAUAGGAAGACAUUAAUUCCCUCUUACAUCUUUCUUUAAAUGGUUCUAAUGGUUCUAUUUAAUAAGAGUUACUUGAGAGUGUCUUCUAUGAUAUACGGUUUUGAGGAGAGAAGACAAAUUUUUGUUUUUAUUUUAUUUUUGAGAUUCUAAUAUAAUUACACUAUUUCUCACCUUCCUUUCCUCCCUCGAAACCCUCCCAUAUACACAGCAGCCCUGUUCUUCAAAUUCAUGACCUCUUUUAUACUAAUUGUUAUUGCAUGACUAUAUCUAUAAUGUAUACGUAUAUAUGCUCCUAAGUAUAACCAGAUCAGUCUGUAUAAUGUUACUUGUAUGUAUGUAUGUUUCCAGAGCAACCAUUUGGUUCAGGUCAUUCUGGUGAGACUUUAUGUGGCACAUGUCUUUACCUGGUGGGUGCAGCUUCUGUUGAUACUGGGAGACACAAUCUCACAGAAAACUCCCUGAGUCUCUGGCUCUUAAGAUUUCCUGCCCCUCUUACACAGUGUUCUCUAAGUCCUAGGUGCCAAAGUGUUUUGUACAUGUAGCCAUUGGGACUAGGCCCGCAGCCCUGCAUUUUGAUUGGCUGUGGUUUUUCUGUAGUGGUCUCCCUGUGUUGCAAAGAGGAGAUCCCUUGACGAGGAGUGAUGGCUACGCGUAUCUGUGGGUACAAGGACAAAUGUUAGCAUAGGGUCAUUCUCGUUUAGUAAACCAGUGGCAGCAGAUCCCCCCGCCCCGUAACCAUGACGACACUACCACUGAGUACUUCGCUGGGUUCCCAAUACCAGGUUUCAUAUCCCUCUUGCUAAGCUCGCCUUAAGUCCAGUUAGAGAACUGUUGGUUACCUCCAAGGUGUGCACGCCACUACUGCAACAUUAGGGAUAGCAUGCCACCCCAGUUGUUUGAUGAGGGUUGCCGGUGUCAUAGCUGACUGCAUCUAUGUUCUGAGAAAACUACAUGCCUGGCCGAAAUGCACUACACUCUUUUCUGUGCAAGAAUUUUGUGCGAUUGACUCUUCUUUCAAGGAAUUGUUCGGUCUCGCUCCUCGGUGUCACUUGGAAAGGAAAAUAACAGUCACGCUUACUUCCUGCCCCUCAGUUCCCAGAGUUUAUGUUAUGUUGUUGCUAGUGAUCUGUCUAUGGUUCUAGAACGAAUUAGGACUUUUUAAAAGCCUAAAAUAUUGUGCUGAUUUCCCAUUGUACAAACUCAAAGAAUUCCAUACUAUUUCGAUAUCCUUAUUGUUGGCGUUACCUUCUACUUAACUACACAACACCCACUUAAUCACACAUGGUAUGCCUAUUGAUUACAAAUACUUUCACCUUGCCUAGGUAAAAAUAAGCCAUUUAUGCCCCUGCAUCACUCUUUAGAAGAGUAGAUCUCAACCUUGGCUGCACACUGAAUUCACCUGGGAAACCUAAAGAUACCUUCCCAACCUGAGACUAAUUUAAUUAGUCUGAAGUAUCACCUGAAUAAUAGGAUUUAAAAAAAAAGCUCUCUGGGUGAUUAUAAUAAGCAGCCAAAGAUGAGAAUUACAGAUUUUCCUUGAGGAGAAAAUAUAUAAAUCUUUAAGUAACCAAAAUAUAGUGGCUAUAAGAAAAAAUAAUGAUUUUGAACAACUCUUCCAUUUGAUAUGAGUCUUUCUUCUGAACAAUAUUUCACCUGUGCUAUCAAUGUGCCUACAAUUCGCAAUCAUGAAGUCUUUCACUUAUGAUUACAUAUCAUGAGAGUACAUGCCUUCAUAUUGUCCAGUUGGGGAAAAAGUCUCAAUUAAGUUGAAAUUUAUAUAAAAGAUGUACAAGAACUCUAGCGGUUUGCCCCAAAGUGUGAUUAUUUUUUUUCCUUUCAAAACUUCCAUAUUUCACAACUUGGGAGUCAUCUUCCUCAACUUUUAAAUUUCAUUUUUACUUAUUUGUUUAUGUGGGAGGGAGAUAUACAUAAGCGUGUGCGCACACAUGCCAGGGUGUAUGGGUAGAGAUCCAAAGACAGUGGCAAGAGUUCCCUCUCUCCUUCCCCCAGGCGGGUCCCAGGAAUUGAACUUGGGUUGUCAGGCUUAAUGAGAGGUGACUUUGCCUACUGAGCUACCCAAAGGUUCCAGCCUUUGGGAAGACUUCAAUGACCGUAUAGCUUUUCUUUGUUUGUUUUUCGAGAGUACAAAUAAAUGGAGCUCUCAAAACAAAAUGGACAAAAAGGAAGAACAAGAAACAGAAGAGGUAAGAUUCAGUCAGGAUACUUUAUUCCACUGCACAAGCAGUCUCAUAUCAAAAGUUAUGAUUUCCCCUUUGAAAGAAAGGAACUCCAAUAUUGCUUAACCCAUUUGAGUUCUCAUUAGCACAACUAAUUCCACCAAAUUACGUGUUGUUGCUGCUGCUGUUGCUGCUGCUGCUGCUGCUGCUGCUGCUGCUGCUGCUGCUGCUGCUGCUGCUGCGGCAGUGCCAGGGCACCCUGUGGAGGGGUGGAUGAAUCAUAUAAAGCAAUAAGCAUUUUUCCCUGAGAUACCAUGUUAAGUCCGGCCUGAGGUUCUUCUUUAAUAUGCGGUUUCCGACUGGAUUCCCCAGAGGACUAGGUGUUCCCUGUUACCGAACACAGCCAACACUGUGACCUACUCCUUUGGUAUUUGUCCCACACUGUACUGAAGCCCAGAAAACACAGAGGAUAAAUGAUGCUGAUGUGUGCUCUUUCAGAACAGCACCAGGUCUGCUGAAACUACAGGCAAAGGGGCAAAACAGAUUGUGGGGGGCUCACGGCUGCUUUCCGGUCCCUCCGGUUGGAUAAUGGCAUAGAAAAGGUUUCUUUGAAGUCAUUGCUUCUGUGUCAAGAGAGAGACUUCCAUUCUUCAGAAGGACCCUUACGGGUCUCAAAAUAUGUUUAAGGGUAAAUGUUCCACAGAAAACUGGAAGUUAGGUACUUUCCUGUUAUAUUCUCUUUCCUCCACUCUAGAGCUCACCAAUUCUUUGAGGCAUAAACGAAACCGGGGACUUGCACGUAUUUACUAGAUUGUAUAUACCACGCACUACCUAUGCUAAGUAAGUGUACGCUAUACUUAAACACAGCAUCCGGCCACAACUGUAAUUUAAGCCCCGAGAGGAAGGCAACACAUCACCCAGGCAAAAUGGUGCCAAACAAAAGAAAAAUGCCCUCUCAGGACUUGCAAACCUGUCAUUCAUCUCUAACAAGGCUGACUUUCCUGAGCCCGGGGGAUCAUAAAAGUCAUCAGACGAUUAAAAGUAAAUAAAUAAGACAGAAAAGUCAACUGUUUCCAAAAGGAGAUAAAAGUGACCUUUUUUUUUUUCAUAGGUUGAGUACGCCUAUCAAAGAGCCUGGAACUAAAAGUGCUUCAGAUUUGGGAUUUGGGAAAAUUUGCAUAUAUAUUACAUCGUAUCUCGGGGAUGGAACUGGAGCAUAAAUACAAAAUAUAUUCAUGUUUUCUGCUCACCUUCUACACAUAGCCCAAGAGUAAUUGCUGUUACAUAGUUACAAACUAUGACCUUUCAAAUAACACUGGAUAUGAAAGGAUCCACUUGUAGACAUUUUAAAAGUUUUAAGAUUUUUUUUUUUUUUAGGCUCCUGGAUGAUCAGACCAGAAAUGUCUUCCUCAAAGUAUGAAAUUCAAAUCCAAGAAAGGCAAAUGUCUACUGUGUGUUACCUCAUCCAACACUGUAUUCCCACAACACAGUCUUGCAAAUCGGUUUUACCUAAGAAAUUUCUGCAGCUUCAAAGCAUUAUCUGUAUACAUUUCUCAAACAUAGAAUACCAAGGAUCAUGCAAAACAAUGGGAAAUGAUUGUAUGAAGAGGUUUAUGUCAUAAAGUGCUCUGUGUACCAGCUUAGUGGCAACGCAAAUAAAGAAGUAUGAGUACGGACACGUGACUCUUGCAGAAAGUCAUUAGGUAAACAUCCAUCCUAUAUUCCAUUUGCUUUUAUGUGUAGUUUGAACAAGAGCGGGACUUUUUCUCAACAUGUCACAGUCAAUAAUAUCGACCAAAAUAACAGAAACAUGAGGAAGUACAAACCUCCGGGUCCAGUUUAAUCCAGAACGUCUUAGAAUUGUGAUCAUUGUAAAUAGUUAUGAAUAUAACCUUAGAAUUGUAUCUAUGAGUAGACCUCUGCUCUAGGUUGAACAAGGUGUUUGUCACAGUGUCCCCAACCACGAAGGGCCUCCUUUGUUACUUUUCCCUCUAGGUUCUCGAUGUCUUCUAAAAGGCUGAAGAGCAACAUAUAUAAUUUGCUUCGUUUUUUAAAAUGCGUUUUUCUAGCUAUCACACUGAUCCCUCCUCCAGCUGUCUAGAACUACCCGAGCGUUGUGAUCAUUGUUAGCUCUAUGUUGGUGUAAAUAUGAUGUAAAUAGGAAGCAAUGAGCACGGUGAGGUACCAAGCAGUGCUUUCUGCUGAAGCCAUUUUGUGAUAUCUCUUACUGUGCGCAUGCGUCACGCUUGCAACCCUUCCUACGUCCGGUAAGGCGGCGCGACCACCUGCUACCCUGCUCUGCCACAAAAACCCACCCAGGAUGUUCAAUAAAUGUAUCAAUAGUCCCUGCAGGUCUCACAUGCAUCAACUGCCCUCCCUCUGGGUUGAAGUGUGCUAGUCAAAAACCACAGGCCACUCUUGCCACAUGGAAAAAGGAAGAAAACAAAACAAAACAAAAAAGCUAAACAAACCCUCUCGGUUCAGCUCUGGUUCCUAAAAGCCAAACAGCCCAGCAGUGAAAGCCUUUGCCUACAAGCCUGACUUACGGCCUCCAGCUCAAGGUUCCUAUCUCUGUGGUUAAAUUUCUUCAGCUACAGGAUGAGGACCCUUUCAGACCUUAAUUUCUGGUCCUCGAAAUUCUAAAGUUGAGAGAGGUGAGGAAGCAGUUAUAAAUUGUUUUGCUGCCUGUCUUGACCUGUUGGGGCUACAGUAGAGCAAAAGGUAUAUAAUGGAUUAGUGAUUCUGCAAUUAUCAUGUUACUUCUUUUUAUAAAACCCAACUGUAUAAUUCAAGACUUAAAGUAAGUUUUGGCAUUAAUUGUUGGCUUGUGCAUCAAAUUCACCUGAACACAGUUAAAUUCCCUUUUAAUUUUUCCUAGGAGGAACUCUGACUGCCAAGAAUUGUUCCAGUUCCCUUCAGCAAGAAGCAUGUCUUAAGAGAGAAAAAAAAAAGUGGAGGGAUCUUCUGAGUAAGAUAAAUGCUUAGGCUGUUUGUUAUAGGG
RNAcentral lists this small RNA (7561 nucleotides) under Rattus norvegicus (Norway rat). RNAcentral's name for it is "uncharacterized LOC108350675". The record is from RNAcentral. Lineage: Eukaryota; Metazoa; Chordata; Mammalia; Rodentia; Muridae.